Molecule: long non-coding RNA, 8106 nt
Organism: Pecten maximus
Lineage: Eukaryota; Metazoa; Mollusca; Bivalvia; Pectinida; Pectinidae
Exons: 2
Source: RefSeq, a predicted model, not a curated record
CUAAUCCAAUCAGAUGGUUUGUUACAGAACGAGUAAGAUUCUUAUCUAAUCAUACGAUUGGAUACAGAAUGAGAUUCUAAUCCAAUCAGAUGGUUUGUUACAGAAUGAGUGAGAACAGUUUUAAAAGCAGCUAUUUACUGGAUGCAACAGUUUGUUUACUUAGCUACAACUGCAAAUUUAGUCUUUGCUCUGAAAUAGGAACAGUGUGGUGGACGUCCAAGCAAAAUUGAUCGCCUGGUAAUAUAUCAAUGUUUCCACCUAGUCAUUCUGUGUGUGACCUUCAGCCUAAGUGUGGUGAUGUGUCAGCCUGAUCGUGCAAAAUGCUGAAAACCAAAAGAAAAGAAACUCAUUAUGCAAAAAGCAUAACCAAUAACAUGUGUCGGGGGGAAAAAAACUGAGCUCAUGUAACAAGUUUUAAAAAAGAAUUGAAAUCACUCUGAGCUCUGCUGUUAUAGAAUUCCUGCAAUAUACACAAAACAUAGACUGUUGACUUGCUGGAGAAUUGUCCAUCGAUUCCAGUGCCGACAGAUUGUCUGCGUUUUGUGCUGUUUGAUCACUUCCCAGUAUGAAGUUUGACAUUUGUAUUCACUAGCUAUUUUACAAGACUUUUGACAUUUGCUGUCAUUCAUUGUUGGCUUGUGUACUUAACUGAAAGUUUUUAACAGCAUGUAUCAAUGUAUAAGUUUUGUUUCAGCAAAUACAAAAUGAGGAGUAAUUUAAAUUAUUUAUUUAUGUUGAUGAUGUGCCAUGAUAAUGUGAUUUAGUUACUAAAUUUUCAGAGAGUUAAGUUGAGGCUCAAUAAUAAUGAUAAAAACAUUCCAGUAUGAACAGUUUGUGGUUAGACAAGUCAUAUUUUAAAUAGCUUUACUAAUUUCUUUUUUACACAGAGGACAACUGUAAACAAAAUUUGAAUUAAAAGACACAUUAUAAUCCUGUAUAAACUAUUGUCACAAAAUUACAGGUAGUGAAAAUAUAUUUUUUGUAAUAGAAGCUUAAACCAGUUUUGAACAUUUUCUAUGCUAUGUACAUCAAUACAAUUUGUUUUCAUAACAUUCACUAAUACUUGAAAACAUUGAUACCUGUAUAUUUUUCAGACAGAUUCUUGAAAUAAUUGUUUGAUGCAUUAAGGCUGAAUAUGUAUAAAUGGUUACAUUACUAUUGUAACACUUAAAUAUCAGUAUCAUAAAGUACAUGUACAUGUAUGUAACUGAAAAAUGCUGGGGUUUGCCUGCCUAUAACUAAGAUAUAAAUUGACAUCAAAUAAUAUUUUGAAUUUAAGAUCUAAUAAAGAGUUUCCCUUCAUAAGAAUAUGAAUGUUAAAAAAAUUUUGUCAAAUGUAGUAAAUUAUAAUUUAAAUAUGACAAUUUUUCCUUAUAUGUCAAAUAAGGGCAAUAAAGAAAGUAAACAUUAGUAAAAAUCUGCAUUAUUAAGCUAAAAGUACAUUUAUCUACAAGCCAUUUAUAUAUUAGCUUCUGCUUUAAUAACAUUAAACAGCACUUAAACUGGUAUUCUUGUUCAGGAGAUUCAGGUUUGUUAUUUAUAUAUUUUCAGUCUACAUGCUGCGAAAGUUUUACUUGCAUCACUACAAAAUAUAUGGUUUUGACAUAAUGAAAUCUAUACUGGUUGCUUUGCAAAUUCAUGACAGACCUCUAGAUUCUUUAUGUAAACAUUUUUAAAGAGUUAUGUCCCCUACAUUAUGUUUGCACAGGGAAGCAUAAGUAUAUUUGAGCAAAAACUUACAGUAUUAUAAUUUAUACGGCAAAUUGUAUAUAUCGGUAAUAUUUAAUUUAUAUUUAGUAUCAUACCAAUGUUCUUGAGGAUAAACUGCCUCUGGCAAUAAUAUACAUAUUAGUUUAAAUCUUGUUAAACAGAACAAUUUCAUCAAAAGAACAGAUUUUUCUAUAAUGAAGUAGGAGUUUUCAAAUCAGUUCCUGAAUAAAAUAAUAUUCUAUAAAUGUCAUAAAAAUAAAUUUCCAAACUUCACAAUGUCCAAAUUAAUUAAAUGUCCUUUUUUUCAACGAAAAUAGUAGUGAAAAAUAUAGAAUUAUCAAUGUUUUUAUAGCAAUUUUUCUUCUAACUUCUUCAUUUGUUAUGGUUUUGGGACCAGUAUCUACAUUUGAUGACCUUGUGCAAUUGUCUUUAUUUUCCAUUUUUAAUUUGUAUUUCAUCUGUUUUUCAUUGCAUGGCUUAGAAUCUCUUUACAUCAUACCAGUUAUCUUCAAGAGCUAAAUAAUAAUAAUUGAAGAAAUAAUAUGAAACAGAAUAUUGUAAAGGAAUCAGGGUGUUCUAGUGGUGUGUUGUAUUACAGAAUUCAUUGGUACUACUGAAUGUUUUUUUGAAGAAAUUUUAAGCCAUAUAGCUAUUUUGAUUUAUGUAGUAAAUAUUGAAUCAAAAAAACAGAUAUCAGCUGAAUUCUUAUUUUGCAUUAUACUGUUUGGUGGGUAAUAUUUGUGUGGGAUUUAAUGUCGCUAUAUUUGCAGUCAUUAAAUGUAGCACACAAAUGAAACCCCAGUGAAUAUUUAUAUAUAUGUAUACACAAAUGUAUGAAGUGUUCACUGCAGAAUGUUUACAAGUCGGUGUUGCGCAGAAUUUAAUGCCCGCAAACUGAUAACGUUACGUCCAACUGCGAAAACAGUGAAAUAUUAGCACCAUGAAAUUUAACACCUAUACACAAGGGAAAUUCCUUCACAUUAAUUCAUGUGAACUUUAUUUCACGUGAAUUUCAUGUGGAAAAAAUUUCAGGUGAAAGAAUUUUGUCUGUAUACAGUAAUAUUUACAAUGAUUUCAGAGAUUUGAUGAGAUCUAACCUUUGCAUGUCUUCAGAACGUUCUUGAGAAUGUUUUAUAUGAUCAUGUUUAUAAGUUUGUAAAAUGACUUGACCCUUUCAUUCCCAGUACAAAAAAUGUACAGUUUUGACCUCUAUGAUAUUGUGCUCGCAAACAGUAUAUUUUUACACAAUAUAUUUUCGCAAACUGUUUUAAUUGCCAUCGCAUCUAUAUUAUGUGAUUUCUUUCUGUUAUAUUAUUUGUAAACUAUUUUUAACUGGUAGAUCAUGAUUAUAUUAAAAUAAUUAUAUGCUGAAUUAAAAUGAAGUUAUUGUAAUAAAAUGUGUAAUUUAAAACUGAUUAUGUGAAAAAUAGAAAAUAACUGCCCCCCUCUUAAUUGAUGAUAUAUGUAUUUAUUAUAUUGUAAGAAUGAAAGGGUCAAAUUUGAAGGAAUGUAUGUGCCAAUGUCCCUCUAUAUACCUGAUAUUGAAUGAUAAUAUAGCAUUAUGCUGACUAUUAUAAUCGUAAUGCCAAUAAUGCUAAGUUGUCAGCAUGUUGUAAUGUACAAUAAUAACUCCAAACAAUAGAUUAUCUACACAUUAUAACUUGCAAUAAGAAAACGCCUCAGCACAAAACUCCAGGUAUAAGAUUAAUAGGGAUAAUCUGGGAUUAUGUAAGUGAACAGAUUUAGUCUUCCAAUAUGUUCAGCUCAAUAGCCUUCGUCAUAGAAAUAUGUUCUAUCCCUUUAUAGUUAGGUGUAGCUUUUGGUUUUAUGUAGAAAAAUAAUGUUAUGCCUAUUUAUGAAUUCCACAACACAGGCAACAAAUCAGUGUACAAUUUCUCUAUUUAUCCUACAGAAAUAUAUUUGAAAAAACUAGUUCAGUUACACAAAUAUAUAUAUAUAAAUACACCAUAUAGUUUACAGUUCACAAUGUAUAUCAUAUAAAAACAUUUAAGAAUUAAUAAUGUUACACUUAUUUACAUGUAUCAUACAAAAAUGUAUAUAAAAACUAAUAACUUUCAUAUUACAUUGUAUCAGUGAUACCAUACUAUCAUAUAUUUCUUUCAACAGUAUAUUUAAGAAGUAACAAGUAACAUUUAAGACUUAUUACACAAUAUGUACAUAGCUUAUGAUAUAUUCUACCUCAAAACAUGUCACUAGCUCUGCUGAUUCCUAUGGACCAGAUUCUACUAAUAUGCUAUCACAAGGUAUCCAUCUUAGUGUUAAAUUAAUACAUUAUUUGUCAACGUCAUUACUAACCAGCGGGGUCAUUUACAGUGUAUCAGUUAUGUUUAAUGAUUUAGUUUUAGGAUAAUGAACAAGUUUGCCACAGGGAACAAUAGGAUGGUUCAGUAUUAAGUUGUUUAGUAAUGGUGUCAAUAUCAACUAGAGCAGCCAGGGUCAUUUAAGGACGUGCCAGGUUUUGGAGGUGGAGGAAAGCCGGAGUACCCGGAGAAAAACCACCGGCCUAUGUUCAGUACCUGGCAACUGCUCCACGUAGGUUUCAAACUAGCAACCCGGAGGUGGAGGGCUAGUGAUAAAGAGUUGGGGCACCUUAACCACACGGCUACUGCAUGCACAGUGGCCCAAAACUGAAAGUACUUAAAUUCAUAUGCAAUAUACAUGAUAAGUAUGAUCACAGGCAUCUGCAUCUGGUUAGUAUAGAAAUAAAUAUUAGCCUCUACUCAUACUACAGGAGUAGGGGCUAAUUUUUUUUCUUUAAAUACUUACCAGUUGCAGACGCCUGUGAUAAAGUACAUGUAUACAUGAAUAUAGACUAAAAAUGUACAUUUGUUUUUUGUUUGGAACAUUUCAUAUUCACACUCAUAUUUGCUGCAACUAAAGUUUGAAAAUGUCCGUCGAAAAAGACAGCUCAUGAACGAUGUAAAGUGAAAUAGUUCUUAAUAAUGUAGAUACUGCCUAAUCUACACAUGAAUGACAGUGAUAGGUUUUGUGAAGGUCUUUGAUAUCAUAAAAUCAAAAACUCUAAAAUCAGCUAGUAAAUAGAAUCUUUUCAGUUAGCUUUAUAAAGGACAAUUGCACAUAACCCUCUAUUAGACAUUCUAAGAGUAUUGCAAUGGCAAAGUUCCGUAGGUAUAUCUAAGGAGUUUUUUGGCGGGAAAGUGUCACUGCAUAAUCCGGAGAUUACUGGAGUGUUAUUUUAUAUACGUGUUCUGACAUUCCCAUUGCUAUACCAUGACAGAAGAAAGGUUUUUGUUAGUACGUGUUAUUCAACAACCGAUUCCAUUAACAAACAUGUUACGUAUGAUAAUAUUGACAAUAUCGAUAUUUCGUUAUUUGUUGUGUGAAAACAUACAUUCGGGUCAUUAAAAACAUAAAUACUACACCUCCCACAUAGAUACACGCAUACCGGCAUCAGCAGGUCUGUCCAAGCAUUCUAAACUUUGCCAUAAAAACAAUGUUCAGAGACUGCGAUUAGCGUAAUCGUAGUUUAACAGAAGACUUUCAAUGAGAAUAGUUCUAAAAUGUCCUGUUAAAUUAAAGUAUUUCGUCAGGUAAGACGGACACACGUUUGAGCGAAUGUAUUUACGUUAGUCUUAACACUUUUAAUGUAAUUGAACUUGUAUCUUUAGAAAUGUUUAUACUACUUUUAACCUGUCUGCAAGGCAUAACUCUUAAAUAGUAUUUGCUUAAAGAUCGUUUUCUACAGGUAGAGUUGUUGUCGUCUGUUGGUAUAUCCGAUUUAUAUUUUAAUUUUGGGUAGUCUCUAGUACCCAACUAUGAACUAGCUACAAUAUGUAGGUUAAUACUCUCUCAAAACUGUUAGAUCCUGAUUUAGGUCAAGCCUACAUAAUAAUGUAUACCAAGGUCAGUGUGAAGGUUUACCAUUUGUGACGCUGUUUCAGUACUUUUAGGCUUAGUUGAAGUACUUGCGUAUGUAUAGCGUAUUUACCUAAACCUUAGACAAACAUAUUUUGAUAAAGUGUUUUCGACAAUGUACAUACAUGUAGGUUUUAUAUUGGUGCUUGUUAGGAUUAUGGUUUUAAAUGUAAUGCUUAUUCACUAAAAUCUAUACAGCAUUUGUAUUUUGCCGAUAUAGACGGUCAGGAAUUAACUUUAAGUAGAGGAGAUGUAACGAUAGUGCAGACCAGAAAUGUCGACUCUUAGAAACAAUCCACUUCUUUGUGAAGGUACUAGUGAUCUGAAGCAAUUAUUUUCGUCAAAUUGAAAGAAAGGGACAGUAGUUAGACUACCCCGAACAUUCUUCGUUCAUGCAUGUCUUGUAUACGAGGAAGGAUAUGCUUUCGCGUUUCGAGACCUGUCGGCUUAAAUGAUUGUAUGAACGUGAUAUAUAACAAUGAUCCCAUGUCCAAGAAAGAUACAUGAUUUGUAAGCGGAAAGUCAAAAUACGGAAUACAACACAGUAGUUUUCUGGGAGAGAAAUUGAGCCUUGGUAAAUGUCAUUUAUAUUAUAUGUAGCCUGAGUGGAUUGUUUUAUCGGUCUCAAAUCAUCGAGUGAUUACAAAUUCCACAAUAAAUCGGAGGUGGCAUUGCAGAGAAUAUCGUUCAAGUAAAACAGUCGAUGAAGCUUACACCAGAUCACAAACUUUAAUACAUACAUUAUAUAUAUUACCAGUAGUUUCGUAAUUUGAAUGUUUUAUUUCCUCGUAGCAGCGUUAAAGAUAGGUUGUCAUGAUGAGAAAUUUUGGUUCAUUAAUUGAAGGUUGUCAUGAUGAGAAAUUUUUGGUUCAUUAGUUGAAGGUUGUCAUGAUGAAAUUUUUUAGUUCAUUAGUUGAUGGAACACGUACAGAACAUAUUAUUUGUAGAACAGUACAGUAUAUCAAUGCUAUGUCUUGGUAAAUACAAAAAUUCCCAUAGUUAUGUUUUAAUAUCCACAUACGAAUAUAUAAACGAUAUCUCUUUGUAGUGCAGUUGUUGUUAGGCUAGGUGUAAGAGUAUCGUAUUCACAUACAUAUAAACUUUUGAAAUAGUUCCUUGGGUUUGAGGCAAAUAACAGCUUAUUUCGUAUAGAAGAUAUUGAGAUAAUGAGAAUUAUGUAUUUUUUAUGAAAACUUAUUAGCUUAUUUUAAGUCGUGUAAGUUGUCACGGUCUUUCUGUUGUAUUGGCAUAAUAACUUUCUUCAUGGAAAUAGGCAAAAAUACAUAAACUUUCCUUUCCAAUGGUAGUAUAUGUUUCUUUCUUAUAAUGUGCAAUUAUAGUCAAUCUAGGUUGUCAACUGGGGUAAACUUGUUCUUUUGUAAAUGAGGUAAGGGUUUGAAUUAUCAUGAUGAUUAUCAACAUUCCAGGACCAUCAUUUCAUUCAGACGUGACCAUGGCAUGAUAGGUACAUCGUAUACACUGUCAUUCCAUCAUAAGAUUGUAACAUUUUUAAAGCUGACAAAAUCUGUUUACAAAAUGAAAAUUUGAAAGGGAUCAUGGCUCUUAUAUUCUGAAGCAUUUCAACACAAUAUACUAUGAUUGCAAAAUCAAAACACAGAAGUACAGGGGGCUUUAGUUACUUGUAUUAACUAACUCCAGUUUUAAUAGUAAACAUAUACAUCAUGUUCAUUAAUUGUUACGAUAUUGAUAUACACUUACAUGUAUACUAAACAUCAGUGAUUACUGGAAACGAAGGCGGUACUGAACUAUUGGUGUUCACAAAAGAAAUUAAAAGAAAAAAACAUUAUAGAGAAUAGUUAUUUUAUUGACUUUUUUAAUUUUAUUUGAAAUUAUUAUUAACGCUACUUGUUGAUUAACCUACCCUAGCCUGCAGUAGAGAAAAUUAUAAGCUGUCUUAUGCGAAAAUAUUGUCUGGAAAGAAAUAUGAAAUGCAAUGCACGUGUUUUGUAAUUUUAAAAAGGAGUGAAUGCUUGUGGUUUGGAAUACUCUCUCGUGCACAGCAUUGUUAUUUUUAUUUGGAAGAACUUAUGCUUAAAACCAAUAAUUGAUAAUGCAUGCAGUUAACAUUGUUUGCUUUUCCUGUACUUGUACGAAUAUGCUACCGGCAUGUGUGGGUGUACGGUUCUGUGCUUGAUUGUUUAUAAAGAGGGUGGAUUUGACUCUAUUGUACGAUAAACUUAUUUAAUCGUCUGACUGUGAUUUGAAGGGUGACAUAUGUAAAAUUGGCCCGAUCGUUACUGACUGUAUGGACUGUAUUGAUCAAUGCGCUUGGGACCUUAGAGUUGGAAUAUAUUCCCGCGUAUGUGUUACAAUAUAUACUUUUUUGAAGUAAUGUAUUUUUAUGUUUUUGACUAACACAUUGCGUGUAGGAUUUCUUUAUGUAUAUAUCAUCAUUGGUAUAAUUGUGACAUUUGUAUGAAAGCUCAUAUAUGUAUCUUGCAUGAGAAAUCAUGCAUAAAAUAUCAUCUGAAAUACUGA